GGAUUGGCACAUCGGUCGUGCCUUAAGGGGCAUGAACUGGUGUAGCCAAUUUCUCACCUUCUGGAGAACCGCGAUGUCCUUAAUUGGGUGCCGCGAGGAACCAGGACCUUUACUUUGAAAAAAUUAGAGUGUUUAAAGCAGGCAUUUUGCUUGAAUACAUUAGCAUGGAAUAAUGAAAUAGGACAUCCGAUUCUAUUUUGUUGGUUUCUAGGAUCGAUGUA
This 221-nucleotide ribosomal RNA is filed under the name uncultured Entrophospora. RNAcentral's name for it is "uncultured Claroideoglomus partial small subunit ribosomal RNA". The stretch from base 96 to 221 matches the Rfam family "Eukaryotic small subunit ribosomal RNA", at positions 738 to 864 of the family's 1831-position model. Lineage: Eukaryota; Fungi; Glomeromycota; Glomeromycetes; Entrophosporales; Entrophosporaceae. The record is from RNAcentral.